CCUACGGGAGGCAGCAGUGAGGAAUAUUGGUCAAUGGGCGCAAGCCUGACCCAGCCACGCCGCGUGAAGGAUGAAUGCCCUACGGGUUUUAACCUUCUUUUAUAGAGAACAAAAGUGAGGCCCGUAUGCCUUUUUGGAUUUACUUUAUGAGUAAGGACCGCCCAACUCCUUGCCAGCACCCGCGGUAAGCCGGAGGUUCCGAGGGUUAUGAGGAUUUGUUGGGUUUAAAGUGAGCGUAGAGGGGUUGUUAAGUCAGGUGUACAAGGCUGCGGCUCAACCGUGAAAUUGCAAUUGAUACUGGCAGGCUGGAGUGCGGUUGAGGUAGGAGGAAUUCGUGGUGUAGCGGUGAAAUGCUUAGAUAUCACGAAGAACUCCGAUUGCGAAGGCAGCUUACUAAACUGCGACUGACAUUGUUGCACGAAAGCGUGGGUAUCAAACAGGAUUAGAUACCCGAGUAGUC
This 460-nucleotide ribosomal RNA is filed under the name uncultured bacterium. RNAcentral describes it as "partial 16S ribosomal RNA". It matches the Rfam family "Bacterial small subunit ribosomal RNA", at positions 338 to 795 of the family's 1533-position model. The record is from RNAcentral.